Molecule: transfer RNA, 96 nt
Filed under: Aquimarina brevivitae
Lineage: Bacteria; Pseudomonadati; Bacteroidota; Flavobacteriia; Flavobacteriales; Flavobacteriaceae
Description: tRNA-Ser
Rfam family: tRNA
About the family: Transfer RNA (tRNA) molecules are approximately 80 nucleotides in length. Their secondary structure includes four short double-helical elements and three loops (D, anti-codon, and T loops).
Source: RNAcentral
GGGAUGGCGGAAUUGGUAAACGCACUAGAUUAGAGAUCUAGCGAAAUAGACACUCAAAAUGUCUUUUUUAACUGCACAGGUUCGAAUCCUGUUCCC